CAGCAGCCGCGGUAAAACGAAGGGUGCAAGCGUUACUCGGAAUUACUGGGCGUAAAGCGUGCGUAGGUGGUGGUUUAAGUCCGUUGUGAAAGCCCUGGGCUCAACCUGGGAAUUGCAGUGGAUACUGGGUCACUAGAGUGUGGUAGAGGAUAGUGGAAUUUCCGGUGUAGCGGUGAAAUGCGUUGAGAUCGGAAAGAACACCAACGGCGAAAGCACUCUGCUGGGCCGACACUGACACUGAGAGACGAAAGCUAGGGGAGCAAAUGGGAUUAGAUACCCCAGUAGUCCCUGUCUCUUAUAA
Molecule: ribosomal RNA, 301 nt
Filed under: uncultured bacterium
Lineage: Bacteria
Description: partial 16S ribosomal RNA
Rfam family: Bacterial small subunit ribosomal RNA
Source: RNAcentral